RNAcentral lists this ribosomal RNA (459 nucleotides) under uncultured bacterium. Its description in RNAcentral is "bacterial SSU rRNA". It matches the Rfam family "Bacterial small subunit ribosomal RNA", at positions 339 to 794 of the family's 1533-position model. The record is from RNAcentral.
CUACGGGAGGCAGCAGUAAGGAAUAUUGGGCAAUGGGCGCAAGCCUGACCCAGCCAUGCCGCGUGAAGGAUGACGGCCCUACGGGUUGUAAACUUCUUUUGUACGGGAAAAAUUCCCUGGUUUCGUACCGGGGUUGAUGGUACCGUAAGAAUAAGCAUCGGCUAACUCCGUGCCAGCAGCCGCGGUAAUACGGAGGAUGCAAGCGUUAUCCGGAUUCAUUGGGUUUAAAGGGUGCGCAGGCGGAACGAUAAGUCAGUGGUGAAAUCCUACGGCUCAACUGUAGAACUGCCAUUGAUACUGCCGUUCUUGAGUACACUUGAAGUGGGCGGAAUGUGUCAUGUAGCGGUGAAAUGCUUAGAUAUGACACAGAACACCGAUCGCGAAGGCAGCUCACUAAGUUGUAACUGACGCUCAGGCACGAAAGCGUGGGGAUCAAACAGGAUUAGAUACCCUGGUAGA